AUAAUCUCCACAGGGGUUCCAACAACAAUUGACUAUCACAAACUUAUUCUCGACGUUGAGGAUUUCAGAAAUGGAAAGGUUGACACUGCUUUUAUUCCCAAGCAUGAAUCAGAGUUAGCUGCACCACAAGAAUUGGUACCUGUUGUCAAAGAGCUGACAAAGGUUGCUGCUUAGAUGCGUUUCUCGUUCUCUCAAGCGAGU
Impatiens glandulifera is the source of this 201-nucleotide long non-coding RNA. RefSeq lists it as uncharacterized. Lineage: Eukaryota; Viridiplantae; Streptophyta; Magnoliopsida; Ericales; Balsaminaceae. The transcript has 3 exons. The record is from RefSeq and is a predicted model, not a curated record.